Molecule: ribosomal RNA, 367 nt
Filed under: uncultured organism
Description: bacterial SSU rRNA
Rfam family: Bacterial small subunit ribosomal RNA
Source: RNAcentral
CGGAGGAUCCAAGCGUUGUCCGGAUUUAUUGGGUUUAAAGGGUGCGUAGGCGGAUCUUUAAGUCAGUGGUGAAAGCCUACAGCUUAACUGUAGAACAGCCAUUGAAACUGAAGAUCUUGAAUUAGGUUAAAGUAGGCGGAAUGUAUCAUGUAGCGGUGAAAUGCUUAGAUAUGAUACAGAACACCGAUAGCGAAGGCAGCUUGCUGAACCUAUAUUGACGCUGAGGCACGAAAGCGUGGGGAGCAAACAGGAUUAGAUACCCUGGUAGUCCACGCCCUAAACGUUGAUUACUCGUUGUUGGCGAUAUACUGUCAGCGACCAAGCUAAAGCGUUAAGUAAUCCACCUGGGAAUACGACCGCAAGGUUG